UUUGUUCUCACCCCUCAGUCGAGCCU
RNAcentral lists this non-coding RNA (26 nucleotides) under Rattus norvegicus (Norway rat). The record is from RNAcentral. Lineage: Eukaryota; Metazoa; Chordata; Mammalia; Rodentia; Muridae.